RNAcentral lists this ribosomal RNA (417 nucleotides) under uncultured bacterium. RNAcentral describes it as "bacterial SSU rRNA". It matches the Rfam family "Bacterial small subunit ribosomal RNA", at positions 506 to 921 of the family's 1533-position model. The record is from RNAcentral.
UGCCAGCAGCCGCGGUAAAACGUAGGAGGCAAGCGUUAUCCGGAUUCACUGGGCGUAAAGCGCGUGCAGGCGGUUCGGUAAGUUGGGCGUGAAAUCUCCCGGCUUAACUGGGAGAGGUCGUUCAAUACUACCGGACUAGAGAGCAGUAGAGGAAGAUGGAAUUCCCGGUGUAGUGGUGAAAUGCGUAGAUAUCGGGAGGAACACCAGUGGCGAAGGCGAUCUUCUGGACUGCGUCUGACGCUCAUACGCGAAAGCUAGGGUAGUAAACGGGAUUAGAGACCCCGGUAAUCCUAGCUGUAAACGAUGUGAACUUGGCGUCGGUGGCUUAAACACUAUCGGUGCCGAAGCAAACGCGAUAAGUUCACCGCCUGGGGACUACGAUCGCAAGAUUAAAACUUAAAGGAAUUGGCGGGGGAC